This 253-nucleotide ribosomal RNA is filed under the name uncultured bacterium. RNAcentral's name for it is "partial 16S ribosomal RNA". It matches the Rfam family "Bacterial small subunit ribosomal RNA", at positions 524 to 776 of the family's 1533-position model. The record is from RNAcentral. RNAcentral also lists the same sequence under 1 other name.
UACAGAGGGUGCGAGCGUUAAUCGGAUUUACUGGGCGUAAAGGGCGCGUAGGCGGUUCAAUGAGUGUGAUGUGAAAGCCCUGGGCUCAACCUAGGAAGUGCAUCGCAAACGAUUGAACUGGAGUAUAUGAGAGGGUGGUGGAAUUUCCGGUGUAGCAGUGAAAUGCGUAGAGAUCGGAAAGAACGUCGAUGGCGAAGGCAGCCACCUGGCAUAAUACUGACGCUGAGGCGCGAAAGCGUGGGGAUCAAACAGG